CCUACGGGUGGCUGCAGUGGGGAAUAUUGGACAAUGGGGGCAACCCUGAUCCAGCCAUGCCGCGUGUGUGAAGAAGGCCCUCGGGUUGUAAAGCACUUUCAGUGAGGAAGAACGCCUGGUGGUUAAUACCCAUCAGGAAAGACAUCACUCACAGAAGAAGCACCGGCUAACUCCGUGCCAGCAGCCGCGGUAAUACGGAGGGUGCGAGCGUUAAUCGGAAUUACUGGGCGUAAAGCGCGCGUAGGUGGCUUGAUAAGCCGGUUGUGAAAGCCCCGGGCUCAACCUGGGAACGGCAUCCGGAACUGUCAAGCUAGAGUGCAGGAGAGGAAGGUAGUAUUCCCGGUGUAGCGGUGAAAUGCGUAGAGAUCGGGAGGAAUACCAGUGGCGAAGGCGGCCUUCUGGACUGACACUGACACUGAGGUGCGAAAGCGUGGGUAGCAAACAGGAUUAGAUACCCUUGUAGUC
Molecule: ribosomal RNA, 465 nt
Filed under: Vreelandella stevensii
Lineage: Bacteria; Pseudomonadati; Pseudomonadota; Gammaproteobacteria; Oceanospirillales; Halomonadaceae
Description: partial 16S ribosomal RNA
Rfam family: Bacterial small subunit ribosomal RNA
Source: RNAcentral